GAGGCUGCAUCUCCAAAUUCCAAGCCCAGCGGCUUUAGUGCCAUUCUUUGAAUUCCUUUUAAGUAAUGCACUCAGUGAGGACACGUUCUUAUGGGAUCACAAUCUUCCUCCUGGGACAAGAAGUCACAGCCUCCCUUGUCAAUAUACCCGUCAAGACAGAAGCAUGAUCACUACCAGACGCUACUUCCCAGAACGUGCCUAAUUUGUCGCAGUGGUGUCAGUGAAGCGCAGACUGUCCCUCAGGAGGGCGAGGGGCAGUGGCCUGCCUUCCCCUCCCUGCCUCCUCUCAGUGGAACCACAUCUCCUCGCCGAAUCCAUGCACUUGCUCCUUCUGAAAACCCCAUGGUAAGAGCAAGUGUGAGGAGCUAUGGAGCAGAGCUAUUCCUGUGUCGCGUUCAUCUGUAGGCUGAUUUGAGAGGGGCUGACGUGUUCACAGGCCAGCUGUGCCACCUCAGGGUCUCACUGCACCCCUCCAGUGACUCAUACUCCUUUGAUGGUCUCCAAAAAGUGUUACGAAUUUCAUGUGCCUUU
Molecule: non-coding RNA, 531 nt
Organism: Vicugna pacos (alpaca)
Lineage: Eukaryota; Metazoa; Chordata; Mammalia; Artiodactyla; Camelidae
Source: RefSeq, a predicted model, not a curated record